GCGAGUGUGGCGGAACCGGUAGACGCAGUGGACUCAAAAUCCACCGAUGGCAACAUCUUGAGAGUUCGAGUCUCUCCACUCGCACCA
Molecule: transfer RNA, 87 nt
Filed under: SAR116 cluster bacterium MED-G04
Lineage: Bacteria; Pseudomonadati; Pseudomonadota; Alphaproteobacteria; Puniceispirillales (SeqCode)
Description: tRNA-Leu
Rfam family: tRNA
About the family: Transfer RNA (tRNA) molecules are approximately 80 nucleotides in length.
Source: RNAcentral